AGAGUUUGAUCCUGGCUCAGAUUGAACGCUGGCGGCAUGCUUUACACAUGCAAGUCGAACGGCAGCACGGGUGCUUGCACCUGGUGGCGAGUGGCGGACGGGUGAGUAAUACAUCGGAACGUAUCCUAAAGUGGGGGAUAACGCAUCGAAAGAUGUGCUAAUACCGCAUACACUCUGAGGAGGAAAGUAGGGGAUCGAAAGACCUUAUGCUUUUGGAGCGGCCCAUCAGCUAGUUGGGGUGGUAAAAGCACACCAAGGCGACGACGGGUAGGGGACCUGAGAGGGUGACCCCCCACACUGGGACUGAGACACGGCCCAGACUCCUACGGGAGGCAGCAGUGAGGAAUAUUGCACAAUGGGCGCAAGCCUGAUGCAGCGACGCCGCGUGGGUGAAGAAGGUUUUCGGAUCGUAAAACCCUUUUCUGUGUGACGAGCAAGGACGGUAGCACAGGAAUAAGUCUCGGCUAACUACGUGCCAGCAGCCGCGGUAAAACGUAGGAGACAAACGUUAUCCGGAGUUACUGGGCGUAAAGGGCGUGUAGGUGGUUUUGUAAGUCUGGCGUGAAAUUUUUCGGCUUAACCGGGAAAGGUCGUCGGAUACUGCAGGACUAGAGGACGGUAGAGGCGUGUGGAAUUCCGGGUGUAGUGGUGAAAUGCGUAGAGAUCCGGAGGAACACCAGUGGCGAAGGCGACACGCUGGGCCGUACCUGACACUGAUGCGCGACAGCAUGGGGAGCAAACAGGAUUAGAUACCCUGGUAGUCC
RNAcentral lists this ribosomal RNA (764 nucleotides) under uncultured bacterium. Its description in RNAcentral is "bacterial SSU rRNA". It matches the Rfam family "Bacterial small subunit ribosomal RNA", at positions 8 to 796 of the family's 1533-position model. The record is from RNAcentral.